Long non-coding RNA from Callithrix jacchus (white-tufted-ear marmoset), 794 nucleotides. RefSeq lists it as uncharacterized. Lineage: Eukaryota; Metazoa; Chordata; Mammalia; Primates; Cebidae. The record is from RefSeq and is a predicted model, not a curated record.
CACCUCCCAGGUUCAAGCGAUUCUCCUGCCUCAGCCUCCUGAGUAGCUGGGAUUACUGCCAUUCACCACCAUGCCUCGCUAAUCUUUGUAUCUUUAAUAGAGAUGGGGUUUCACCAUUUGAGUCAGGCUGGUCUCGAACUCCAGACCUCGUGAUCCGCCCACCUGGUCUUUCCAAAGUGCUUGGAUUACAGGCGUGACCCAUGGCACCCAGCCUAUGAUGAGUCAUAGUGAACUUUGUCAUAACGAAGUAUUUGUCCUUUCCUGUUGAGAACACUGAAAGAUUAGGGCAUGUAGCGCUAGCUUUUGGCAGGAUUCCUUCAGAGGUGGUGGCAUGUUCUUCCAUCUAGAGGCAGGACCUGCAAAUACAACUGAUAAUCCUGAAGACAUACCACCUGUGGAACGCCUGACCCAGGAAACAUUACUUCUUUGGGAAAAAAUUGCUUCAGUAGAAUCCCAGGGUCAAGAAAUUUCAGGAAACCAAAGACAACAAUUGCUGCUGAUGCUAGAAAAAGAUUAGUAGAUGAACAGAGUCAGCUCAGUGAGGACUUAGACGCAAAGAGACAGCUCUCUAGCAGUCUGGUGAAGUUCCAUGCUUAUCCAGAGAGCCUGCCAACUUUCAAACUAGAACUUCCACCAUCAUCCCUCCUGGUCCUCAGGCCUUCAGUCUCCAGCAGCAGCUAUACUAUCAGCUCUCCUGGGUCUCCAGCUUGCUGCCUGCAGAUCUUGGGGCUUCUCAGCCUCCAUCAUCACAUAAAUCAAUUUCUUCUAAUAAAACUUUUUCUGGCAUCUAUAAA